UGGCGGAUAGUUCAGAUGGAUAGAACGCCUAAACAUCCUUAUUCAUCCCUUGCCUGAAAAGGACGAAGAAUUAGGGUUAUCGCUUUCCACGCGGGAUGUCGCAGGUUCGAGUCCUGCUCCGCCAC
RNAcentral lists this transfer RNA (125 nucleotides) under Tolypothrix bouteillei VB521301. RNAcentral describes it as "tRNA-OTHER". RNAcentral also lists the same sequence under 4 other names. Lineage: Bacteria; Bacillati; Cyanobacteriota; Cyanophyceae; Nostocales; Tolypothrichaceae. The record is from RNAcentral.